GCGCGCUUAGCUCAGUGGUAGAGCACAUCCUUCACACGGAUGGGGUCGCAGGUUCGAGACCUGCAGCGCGCACCA
This 75-nucleotide transfer RNA is filed under the name Pedosphaera sp. Its description in RNAcentral is "tRNA-Val". It matches the Rfam family "tRNA". Rfam says of the family: Transfer RNA (tRNA) molecules are approximately 80 nucleotides in length. Their secondary structure includes four short double-helical elements and three loops (D, anti-codon, and T loops). Lineage: Bacteria; Pseudomonadati; Verrucomicrobiota; Pedosphaerae; Pedosphaerales; Pedosphaeraceae. The record is from RNAcentral.